UACGUAGGGUGCGAGCGUUAAUCGGAAUUACUGGGCGUAAAGUGUGCGAGGUGGCUUCGCAAGUCGAGUGUGAAAUCCCCGGGCUUAACCUGGGAAUUGCGCUCGAAACUACGGAGCUGGAGUAUGGCAGAGGGAGGUGGAAUUCCACGUGUAGCGGUGAAAUGCGUAGAGAUGUGGAGGAACACUAAUGGCGAAGGCAGCCUCCUGGGCCAAUACUGACACUCAUGCACGAAAGCGUGGGGAGCAAACAGG
Molecule: ribosomal RNA, 252 nt
Filed under: uncultured bacterium
Lineage: Bacteria
Description: partial 16S ribosomal RNA
Rfam family: Bacterial small subunit ribosomal RNA
Source: RNAcentral